RNAcentral lists this ribosomal RNA (825 nucleotides) under Triticum aestivum (bread wheat). Its description in RNAcentral is "partial small subunit ribosomal RNA". The record is from RNAcentral. Lineage: Eukaryota; Viridiplantae; Streptophyta; Magnoliopsida; Poales; Poaceae.
AUGGAUCGUUCCCUGCGGGAGAAAGAGAAAAUGAGGGAGAGAGAAGGAAGGAGAGGAAGGAGAAAGAGAGAGGAAAGAGGAGAGGGAGGUGCAGCAUUAAUCGACGGCUCGCGUGGUGGUGCGGCAGACGGCGGCCUCAGCGGGUGUGCGACGACAGGAGGUUCCCAAGCCAGCUCGGACCGUUGUUACCUCUUCCUCGCCGCCCAACAGGUCGCCGUGCUGGGGGAGCAGGGUAGCAUCGGGUCCACAGGCUGGGGUGGAGGCCUUCCCAACUCAGACUGCGCGUCCUCCUCUUUGCCGCGUCAUCGCCCUGGUCAGCUGAGCACCAACCCGACGGCUCCGGCAUCCGAUGCCAACACAACGAGGUUAUACUCCAAUCAAACAUGUGAAUAUUUACCAGAGUGCUUCAAGAUCGAUUUGAUGAUCCACUACCGCUCUGCUGUUGGGACUAAUUUGGAUGGGAAUGGUGAUUUGAUGGUUGAUUAUGAUUACCUGGUUCUUGCUCUUGGAGUUACUGUGAAUACAUUCAACACUCCUGGUGUGAUGGAGCAUUGCCACUUUCUGAAGGUAGUGGAGGAUGCCCAAAAGAUUCGGAAGAGCGUGAUAGACUGCUUUGAAAAGGCGUCACUUCCUAACCUCAGUGAAGAGGAGAAAAGGAAGAUCCUUCACUUUGUGAUUAUCGGUGGUGGACCUACUGGGGUUGAAUUUGCCGUGGAGUUGCAUGAUUUUCUUGUCAAAGAUCUGGUGAAGCUAUAUCCUGCAAUUGAAGAAAACUCUCAACUCCUACUUGCGCUCUGCCUCUUCCUCCUUUUCAUUGCUCAAUAG